This 86-nucleotide transfer RNA is filed under the name Nonomuraea endophytica. RNAcentral's name for it is "tRNA-Leu". It matches the Rfam family "tRNA". Rfam says of the family: Transfer RNA (tRNA) molecules are approximately 80 nucleotides in length. Their secondary structure includes four short double-helical elements and three loops (D, anti-codon, and T loops). Lineage: Bacteria; Bacillati; Actinomycetota; Actinomycetes; Streptosporangiales; Streptosporangiaceae. The record is from RNAcentral. RNAcentral also lists the same sequence under 6 other names.
GCCGGAAUGAUGGAAUGGCAGACAUAGGCGCCUCAAAAGCGCCCGCUCGAGAGGGCGUGCGGGUUCGAAUCCCGCUUCCGGCACCA